Dipodomys spectabilis (banner-tailed kangaroo rat) is the source of this 455-nucleotide long non-coding RNA. RefSeq lists it as uncharacterized. Lineage: Eukaryota; Metazoa; Chordata; Mammalia; Rodentia; Heteromyidae. The transcript is spliced from 2 exons. The record is from RefSeq and is a predicted model, not a curated record.
AUUCAAUAAAGAAGUUUAUGAAUACAGUAUGCCUUGGUCAAUGUGGCAGAUGCCUGGGGAAAGAGCUUUCUAGGCAAAUGCAGAAUAGAUGUAGAAGUCUUGACUGAGCAGUGACUUCGUUGUGUGGAAGGAGCAGCAGGACGAUAUGGUUUCCCCACAGUGGACUGGGAGACAAGGGGAAUCCUGGGAACCAUCCCACUGGCCUUGGAGCUUGCUCUAUGGAGUUCAUAUGGUUGAGAAAAAAACCAAAAGAGACAUCCACAGCCCCUAAUAUUGGUGAAGCCAUGGAACAAACAGAAUUCUCCUCUGCUGUUGGUGAUAAUAUAAUAUGAAACAAUCAGUUUGGAUAAAAGUCUGUCUUAUAAAGCUAAGAUGGAUGGCACAAUCUCCCAUUUGACCCAGUAAUUCUGCUCCUUGGUGCUUUUGUAAAUGAAAUUAAAAGAUUUGUAUAUGUA